GCGCACUUAGCUCAGUGGUUAGAGCAUCACUCUUGAAUGUUGAGGUUGCUGGUUCAAUUCCUGCAUUGCACA
RNAcentral lists this transfer RNA (72 nucleotides) under Phakopsora pachyrhizi. RNAcentral's name for it is "tRNA-Ser". It matches the Rfam family "tRNA". Rfam says of the family: Transfer RNA (tRNA) molecules are approximately 80 nucleotides in length. The record is from RNAcentral. Lineage: Eukaryota; Fungi; Basidiomycota; Pucciniomycetes; Pucciniales; Phakopsoraceae.